GAGGGUAUAGCUCAACGGUAGAGCAUGCGCUUAGCAUGCGUGAGGUCCUGGGUUCAAACCCCAAUACUUCCA
Camelus ferus (Wild Bactrian camel) is the source of this 72-nucleotide transfer RNA. It matches the Rfam family "tRNA". Rfam says of the family: Transfer RNA (tRNA) molecules are approximately 80 nucleotides in length. Their secondary structure includes four short double-helical elements and three loops (D, anti-codon, and T loops). The record is from Rfam. Lineage: Eukaryota; Metazoa; Chordata; Mammalia; Artiodactyla; Camelidae.